Molecule: transfer RNA, 89 nt
Filed under: Trametes sanguinea
Lineage: Eukaryota; Fungi; Basidiomycota; Agaricomycetes; Polyporales; Polyporaceae
Description: tRNA-Tyr
Rfam family: tRNA
About the family: Transfer RNA (tRNA) molecules are approximately 80 nucleotides in length. Their secondary structure includes four short double-helical elements and three loops (D, anti-codon, and T loops).
Source: RNAcentral
CCUCCGAUAGCUCAGUUGGUAGAGCGCAAGACUGUAACUGGAAACCUGCUGUCAUCUUGAGGCCGCUAGUUCGAUCCUGGCUCGGAGGA